AUGAACGCUGGCGGCGUGCCUAAUACAUGCCAGUCGAGCGAACAGACGAGGAGCUUGCUCCUCUGACGUUAGCGGCGGACGGGUGAGUAACACGUGGAUAACCUACCUAUAAGACUGGGAUAACUUCGGGAAACCGGAGCUAAUACCGGAUAAUAUAUUGAACCGCAUGGUUCAAUAGUGAAAGACGGUUUUGCUGUCACUUAUAGAUGGAUCCGCGCCGCAUUAGCUAGUUGGUAAGGUAACGGCUUACCAAGGCAACGAUGCGUAGCCGACCUGAGAGGGUGAUCGGCCACACUGGAACUGAGACACGGUCCAGACUCCUACGGGAGGCAGCAGUAGGGAAUCUUCCGCAAUGGGCGAAAGCCUGACGGAGCAACGCCGCGUGAGUGAUGAAGGUCUUCGGAUCGUAAAACUCUGUUAUUAGGGAAGAACAAAUGUGUAAGUAACUAUGCACGUCUUGACGGUACCUAAUCAGAAGGACACGGCUAACUACGUG
RNAcentral lists this ribosomal RNA (496 nucleotides) under uncultured bacterium. RNAcentral describes it as "partial 16S ribosomal RNA". It matches the Rfam family "Bacterial small subunit ribosomal RNA", at positions 29 to 507 of the family's 1533-position model. The record is from RNAcentral.